This 87-nucleotide transfer RNA is filed under the name Candidatus Colivivens equi. RNAcentral describes it as "tRNA-Leu". It matches the Rfam family "tRNA". Rfam says of the family: Transfer RNA (tRNA) molecules are approximately 80 nucleotides in length. Their secondary structure includes four short double-helical elements and three loops (D, anti-codon, and T loops). Further hydrogen bonds mediate the characteristic L-shaped molecular structure. tRNAs have two regions of fundamental functional importance: the anti-codon, which is responsible for specific mRNA codon recognition, and the 3' end, to which the tRNAs corresponding amino acid is attached (by aminoacyl-tRNA synthetases). tRNAs cope with the degeneracy of the genetic code in two manners: having more than one tRNA (with a specific anti-codon) for a particular amino acid; and 'wobble' base-pairing, i.e. permitting non-standard base-pairing at the 3rd anti-codon position. Lineage: Bacteria; Pseudomonadati; Bacteroidota; Bacteroidia; Bacteroidales; Bacteroidaceae. The record is from RNAcentral.
GGAGGCGUAUCCGAAUGGCACAGGAAACAGACUUAAAAUCUGUCGGCUUUGAUUAGCUUGCGCGUUCAAAUCGCGUCGCCUCUACCA